This 505-nucleotide ribosomal RNA is filed under the name uncultured bacterium. Its description in RNAcentral is "bacterial SSU rRNA". It matches the Rfam family "Bacterial small subunit ribosomal RNA", at positions 38 to 524 of the family's 1533-position model. The record is from RNAcentral.
CGGCGGCGUGCCUAAUACAUGCAAGUCGAACGCACAGCGAAAGGUGCUUGCACCUUUCAAGUGAGUGGCGAACGGGUGAGUAACACGUGGACAACCUGCCUCAAGGCUGGGGAUAACAUUUGGAAACAGAUGCUAAUACCGAAUAAAACUUAGUAUCGCAUGAUACCAGGUUAAAAGGCGCUACGGCGUCACCUAGAGAUGGAUCCGCGGUGCAUUAGUUAGUUGGUGGGGUAAAGGCCUACCAAGACAAUGAUGCAUAGCCGAGUUGAGAGACUGAUCGGCCACAUUGGGACUGAGACACGGCCCAAACUCCUACGGGAGGCUGCAGUAGGGAAUCUUCCACAAUGGGCGAAAGCCUGAUGGAGCAACGCCGCGUGUGUGAUGAAGGCUUUCGGGUCGUAAAGCACUGUUGUAUGGGAAGAAAAGUUAAGGUAGGGAAUGACCUUAGCCUGACGGUACCAUACCAGAAAGGGACGGCUAAAUACGUGCCAGCAGCCGCGGUAAU